Oncorhynchus masou masou (cherry salmon) is the source of this 465-nucleotide long non-coding RNA. RefSeq lists it as uncharacterized. The record is from RefSeq and is a predicted model, not a curated record. NCBI's taxonomy places the organism in Eukaryota, Metazoa, Chordata, Actinopteri, Salmoniformes, Salmonidae. The transcript has 5 exons.
CCUAAACUUGAAAGCAACACAGUGAGCUAGCUAAUGUUGCAAAAAAAAAAAUCCAUCCGAGCAUAAGAUUGUUUCAUAUUGAAAUAGCCUAUCGGUUGUAUAACUUUGUCGGACUGCUCGGUUUGGUAGUCAUCGAGAAUUGGCAGUCAUCGAUUAUUGGCUACAUAAACCGAAACAGUGGAAGCAAAUAUAUUAUUGCCACACCCAUAAGGAACCUUCCUACACAAGCAGUAUCACAUCCUGUGAAGGACUCUCCACCUGUGAGAUUGGAAGUGCUCUGUGCGAGGAGGUGAGAAUAACAUUAGUGUUGAUUUCGCUGGAUCGCCUGUUAUCCUCAGCCAUGACCUGAAGAUGAAGGACAUUAAGAAACCUCAACAGUUGGCUUCAGCUGUAACAGUUUCUGAUCUAUGAACCGGAGAAUCCAGAGACCAAACAGUUCAUUCCUCUCAUCCAGGAGAACCUGCA